GACGGACGCUGGCGGCGUGGAUUAGGCAUGCAAGUCGAACGGUAGGAUCCUUUCGGGGAUCUGAGAGUGGCGAACGGGUGAGUAACACGUAGGUGAUCUACCCUCAAGACGGGGACAACCCAGGGAAACUUGGGCUAAUACCGGAUGUGAGCUAUCGCGAGAUAGUUUGAAAGGUGGCUUCGGCUGCCGCUUGAGGAUGAGCCUGCGUCCUAUUAGCUAGUUGGUGAGGUAACGGCUCACCGAGGCAGUGAUAGGUAGGCGGCCUUAACGGGUGGUCGCCCACACUGGGAUUGAGAUACGGCCCAGACUCCUACGGGAGGCAGCAGUCGAGAAUAGUCUACAAUGGUCGAAAGACUGAUAGUGCGACGCCGCGUGAACGAAGAAGCCCUUCGGGGUGUAAAGUUCUUUUAUAUGUGAGCAGUGACACCCAUAUUAAUAGUAUGGGUGUAGAGAUAUUAGCAUAUGAAUAAGCAACGGCUAACUCCGUG
RNAcentral lists this ribosomal RNA (488 nucleotides) under uncultured bacterium. RNAcentral describes it as "bacterial SSU rRNA". It matches the Rfam family "Bacterial small subunit ribosomal RNA", at positions 28 to 507 of the family's 1533-position model. The record is from RNAcentral.